This 253-nucleotide ribosomal RNA is filed under the name uncultured bacterium. RNAcentral describes it as "partial 16S ribosomal RNA". It matches the Rfam family "Bacterial small subunit ribosomal RNA", at positions 524 to 776 of the family's 1533-position model. The record is from RNAcentral.
UACGUAGGGCGCAAGCGUUGUCCGGAAUUAUUGGGCGUAAAGAGCUCGUAGGCGGCUUGUCACGUCGGGUGUGAAAGCCUGGGGCUUAACCCCGGGUCUGCAUUCGAUACGGGCAGGCUAGAGUGUGGUAGGGGAGAUCGGAAUUCCUGGUGUAGCGGUGAAAUGCGCAGAUAUCAGGAGGAACACCGGUGGCGAAGGCGGAUCUCUGGGCCAUUACUGACGCUGAGGAGCGAAAGCGUGGGGAGCGAACAGG